CACGUAGUUAGCCGGAGCUUUUUCUUCAGGUACCGUCAUUAUCGUCCCUGAUAAAAGGGGUUUACAAUCCGAAAACCUUCUUCCUCCACGCGGCAUCGCUGCAUCAGGGUUUCCCCCAUUGUGCAAUAUUCCCCACUGCUGCCUCCCGUAGGAGUCUGGGCCGUGUCUCAGUCCCAAUGUGGCCGUUCAACCUCUCAGUCCGGCUACUGAUCGUCGACUUGGUGAGCCGUUACCUCACCAACUAUCUAAUCAGACGCGAGCCCAUCUCUGAGCGAAUUUCUUUGAUAACAAAAUCAUGCGAUUUCACUAUGUUAUGAGGUAUUACCAUCCGUUUCCAGAAGCUAUCCCUCUCUCAGAGGCAGGUUGCUCACGUGUUACUCACCCGUCCGCCACUAACUUGAGGAAGCAAGCUUCCUCUCCGUCCGUUCGACUUGCUAUGUGUUAGGCGUGCCGCAGCGUUCGUCCUGAGCCAGGACUCAAACUCU
RNAcentral lists this ribosomal RNA (485 nucleotides) under uncultured Ruminococcus sp. Its description in RNAcentral is "partial 16S ribosomal RNA". The record is from RNAcentral. Lineage: Bacteria; Bacillati; Bacillota; Clostridia; Eubacteriales; Oscillospiraceae.